UUCUGGAGCUGGAGUUGGUUGGCUGGCUGGUUUGGAUAAGUGCAGAAGAAAUUAUAUGGAGAUGUAGUAUGUUAUUUAAUGGUUAAUUAACCUUUUCUAUAAAAACUUGUUUCUGUGUAUGAAUUUGCAUGGCAAACAUCUGCCUUUGGGUCUCACUAUUGCUUGUACCCUGUGCUGGGCCCUCGAUAUGUCAGACUGAGCUUUCCAAGGUUGUUGCAUAAGUGUAUUUCCAGUUCUGUAACUUUCCUCGUGCCUCUGCUUUGACUCUCCUGCUUUUUAACGUCUCCCUCAAUCUGUAGAUACCUGAAUUGCACUGAAAGAUUUUUUCUGAAGUGCACUCCAAAUGAACAAGAAUUAAUUCAGGCAGCCCCUGCUGCAGACUGCAUUAACAGGUCAGUCCAUCAUUGCAGCUUCAAGUUAGUUUCUGGUUCUUUGUGUAUGUAGAUAAUUCAUAGUGUGUGUUUCAGUACCGGUUAAUUUCUUAACUGAAAUAUUGUGCGUUUCUGCCCAAAAAUGUCUGCGGUCUUUCUGGGCUUAAGAUGUGCAAGGAAUUCUGCUUCAGCUGCCCUUUGAUCGAGUCUUUCUCCUGUUUCCUGAGCAAGAGCUGUCCACCUGUACAUCUUUAUCUUCAAUAGUUGCUGUUUGAUAACCUCUUUGAACUGGAUAUAAAACAGGAAAUCAUCCUCAGAAUGCUCAGACUUAUAAAAAGAUUGAAAACAGCAGGAGUGAUUGGAAUGGAAGCCAAGAAGACCCCAAGGCUGUAUCUCCUCCACAAGGUUCAACAGCAUUCUCUUGCAGAAAACCGUCAAGGCAUGUCAUGGAUGUGUCUCCUUGAAUAGCUGGAGCUGCAAACCAUAAGGUGAAUCACUCCAAAGGACACAGUGACCAUGAUUGCAAUACAACAGGAAACAGAGGCUGUCUUAAGCAAUUUGUCUUACUAAGAUACAACUGUACAGAAGGUAAGUACCUUGAUAAACCAGUGAUGGGCAUUGGUUCAGUUACUCUAUUUCCGUAGUUCAGUUAAAACAAAUAAUUAAAAAAAAAAAAAACAAAAGGAUAAAGAAAA
Molecule: long non-coding RNA, 1066 nt
Organism: Tympanuchus pallidicinctus (lesser prairie-chicken)
Lineage: Eukaryota; Metazoa; Chordata; Aves; Galliformes; Phasianidae
Exons: 5
Source: RefSeq, a predicted model, not a curated record